GCGGAAGGAUCAUUACCGAGUGCGGGUCCUUUGGGCCCAACCUCCCAUCCGUGUCUAUUAUACCCUGUUGCUUCGGCGGGCCCGCCGCUUGUCGGCCGCCGGGGGGGCGCCUUUGCCCCCCGGGCCCGUGCCCGCCGGAGACCCCAACACGAACACUGUCUGAAAGCGUGCAGUCUGAGUUGAUUGAAUGCAAUCAGUUAAAACUUUCAACAAUGGAUCUCUUGGUUCCGGCAUCGAUGAAGAACGCAGCGAAAUGCGAUAACUAAUGUGAAUUGCAGAAUUCAGUGAAUCAUCGAGUCUUUGAACGCACAUUGCGCCCCCUGGUAUUCCGGGGGGCAUGCCUGUCCGAGCGUCAUUGCUGCCCUCAAGCCCGGCUUGUGUGUUGGGUCGCCGUCCCCCUCUCCGGGGGGACGGGCCCGAAAGGCAGCGGCGGCACCGCGUCCGAUCCUCGAGCGUAUGGGGCUUUGUCACAUGCUCUGUAGGAUUGGCCGGCGCCUGCCGACGUUUUCCAACCAUUUUUUCCAGGUUGACCUCGGAUCAGGUAGGGAUACCCGCUGAACUUAAGCAUAUCAAUAAGCCGGAGGGAUCAUUACCGAGUGCGGGUCCUUGGGCCCAACCUCCCAUCCGUGUCUAUAUACCCUGUUGCUUCGGCGGGCCCGCCGCUGUCGGCCGCCGGGGGGGCGCCUUUGCCCCCGGGCACGUGCCCGGCGGAACCACAACACAAACGUGUCUCACGCGGGCAUGUGAAAUUGAUGGAAUGCAAUCGUUUAAACUUUCACAGUGGAUCUCUGGGUUCGGCAUCGAUAAGAAGCACGAAAUGCGAUACUAAUGUGAAUUGCAGAAUCGUGAAUCACGAGUCUUUAACGCACUUGGGCCUGGUAUAUCGGGGGCAUGCUGUCAAGUCAUUGCUGCCUAGCGACUGAGUGUGAGUGCCUCUCUUCAGGGGACGGCCAAGAAGGGACCGUCAUCUGAUGGGUUGUCAUGCUGAUGCGCCGGCAAUCACUUUUCGUACUGACGGGUGCUACUAGCCAUCGCGGGGAA
Molecule: ribosomal RNA, 1041 nt
Filed under: Aspergillus niger
Lineage: Eukaryota; Fungi; Ascomycota; Eurotiomycetes; Eurotiales; Aspergillaceae
Description: eukaryotic LSU rRNA
Rfam family: 5.8S ribosomal RNA (bases 202-355)
Source: RNAcentral